RNAcentral lists this long non-coding RNA (581 nucleotides) under Prunus persica (peach). Its description in RNAcentral is "long non-coding RNA (PPER_LNC003695)". The record is from RNAcentral. Lineage: Eukaryota; Viridiplantae; Streptophyta; Magnoliopsida; Rosales; Rosaceae.
UAAACCUAAACACUUUGUACUUGGAUAAAAAUCAACUUUCUGGUUUGAUUCCUAAGGAGAUAGGAAACUUGAAAUCUCUUGUAGAUCUAGGGUUGUCCUACAACAAUUUAAGUGGUCUCAUCCCUCCAAAUAUUGGUAACUUAAUAAAGCUAAACACUUUGUACUUGGGUAAAAAUCAACUUUCUGGUUUGAUUCCUAAGGAGAUAGGAAACUUGAAAUCUCUUGUAGAUCUAGAGUUGUCCUACAACAAUUUAAGUGGUCUCAUCCCUCCAAAUAUUGGUAACUUAAUAAACCUAAACACUUUGUCCUUGGGUAAAAAUCAACUUUCUGGUUUGAUUCCUAUGGAGAUAGGAAACUUGAAAUCUCUUGUAAAUCUAUUGUUGUCCUACAACAAUUUAAGUGGUCUCAUCCCUCCAAAUAUUGGUAACUUAAUAAACCUAAACACUUUGUACUUGCAUUCCAAUCAACUUUCUGGUUUGAUUCCUGAGGAGAUAGGAAACUUGAAAUCUCUUGUAGAUCUAGAGUUGUCCAACAACAGUUUAAGUGGUCUCAUCCCUCCAAAUAUUGGUAACUUAAUAAAG